This 482-nucleotide ribosomal RNA is filed under the name uncultured bacterium. RNAcentral's name for it is "bacterial SSU rRNA". It matches the Rfam family "Bacterial small subunit ribosomal RNA", at positions 30 to 506 of the family's 1533-position model. The record is from RNAcentral.
UUGAACGCUGGCGGCAUGCCUUACACAUGCAAGUCGAACGGCAGCACGGGGGCAACCCUGGUGGCGAGUGGCGAACGGGUGAGUAAUAUAUCGGAACGUGUCCUGUAGCGGGGGAUAACCUAUCGAAAGAUGGACUAAUACCGCAUACGACCUAUGGGUGAAAGCGGAGGACCGCAAGGCUUCGCACUAUAGGAGCGGCCGAUAUCGGAUUAGCUAGUUGGUGAGGUAAAAGCUCACCAAGGCGACGAUCCGUAGCUGGUCUGAGAGGACGACCAGCCACACUGGAACUGAGACACGGUCCAGACUCCUACGGGAGGCAGCAGUGGGGAAUUUUGGACAAUGGGCGCAAGCCUGAUCCAGCCAUGCCGCGUGAGUGAAGAAGGCCUUCGGGUUGUAAAGCUCUUUCGGCGGGGACGAAAUGGUUCGUGCUAAUACCACGGACUGAUGACGGUACCCGCAGAAGAAGCACCGGCUAACUACGU